Tachysurus fulvidraco (yellow catfish) is the source of this 192-nucleotide long non-coding RNA. RefSeq lists it as uncharacterized. NCBI's taxonomy places the organism in Eukaryota, Metazoa, Chordata, Actinopteri, Siluriformes, Bagridae. The record is from RefSeq and is a predicted model, not a curated record. The transcript has 2 exons.
CUAUCUAGCAUCCUCUGGAAGAUGCUGCAACCCUCGUGAGCUGUGGAAUUUCAGAGUAUUGCACCUUGGAGGUUGUUGGCAGGCUUCUGGGAGGUAAGGUCCACGGUUUUCUGGCUCGUGUUGGAAAAGUACGGGGACAGACACCAAAGGUGGACAAGCAGGAGAAGAAGAAAAAGAAGACAGGCCGUGCUA